ACUCAAAUGAAUUGACGGGGGCCCGCACAAGCGGCGGAGCAUGUGGCUUAAUUCGACGCAACGCGAAGAACCUUACCAGGGCUUGACAUGCGGGGUGAAACCGUAGAAAUACGGUGCUCUUCGGAGCCCGCACAGGUGGUGCAUGGCUGUCGUCAGCUCGUGCCGUGAGGUGUUGCCUUAAGUGGCGCAACGAGCGCAACCCCUGUCCUAUGUUGCCAGCGAGUGAUGUCGGGGACUCAUAGGAGACUGCCGGUGCCAAACCGGAGGAAGGUGGGGAUGACGUCAAGUCAUCAUGCCCCUUAUGUCCUGGGCUGCACACAUGCUACAAUGCUGAGUACAAAGGGUAGCAAUGUCGUAAGGCGGAGCGAAUCCCAAAAAGCUCAGCUCAGUUCGGAUCGAGGUCUGCAACUCGACCUCGUGAAGUCGGAGUCGCUAGUAAUCGCAGAUCAGCAACGCUGCGGUGAAUACGUUCCCGGGCCUUGUACACACCGCCCGU
Molecule: ribosomal RNA, 496 nt
Filed under: uncultured bacterium
Lineage: Bacteria
Description: partial 16S ribosomal RNA
Rfam family: Bacterial small subunit ribosomal RNA
Source: RNAcentral